Molecule: long non-coding RNA, 398 nt
Filed under: Bos taurus (domestic cattle)
Lineage: Eukaryota; Metazoa; Chordata; Mammalia; Artiodactyla; Bovidae
Description: long non-coding RNA NONBTAT000095
Source: RNAcentral
AAAAUUAACAAAAUAAGUUCAACAAUAUACAAAAGGCAGAGUCUAAAACGAUAUUCUUUCCCAAAAAGGUGCCCAAGAGCCUGAAGCAGAAUCAGAGAGGAGGCAGGCUCUGCUCAAUUCCCUAGGAGGAAAAAAUAUGGAACAACCAUUUCAUCUUGGGUCUGUCCUUUCAUUCUAUUUUCCCCAAGGACAGAUGGAUUUACCAGGUGGAUCUGUGACUUUUGGCCCCUGCUUCAGACCUUCCUGUUCGUGGAGAUCUCCAGCUAGCUCUCCAUCUCAGAACAAGUUAGAGUGCUGAUGGAGGGACUAGAGACAUGGUGAGCACAUCUGUCUAUUCAGGAAGAAUAUCAUAAAUCUACCUGGCCUCAGCUCUCAACACAUACCUUCCAGCUUCAUUA